AGUGAACGCUGGCGGCGUGCCUAAUACAUGCAAGUCGAGCGGAAGUUGAAGAGCUUGCUCUUCAACUUUAGCGGCGGACGGGUGAGUAACACGUGGGCAACCUGCCCUGCAGAUCUGGAUAACUCCGGGAAACCGGUGCUAAUACCGAAUAGUUUUGGGUCCCUCCUGGGACCUAACGGAAAGACGGUUUCGGCUGUCACUGCAGGAUAGGCCCGCGGCGCAUUAGCUAGUUGGUGGGGUAACGGCCCACUAAGGCGACGAUGCGUAGCCGACCUGAGAGGGUGAUCGGCCACGCUGGGACUGAGACGCGGCCCAGACUCCUACGGGAGGCAGCAGAAGGGAAUCUUCCGCAAUGGACGCAAGUCUGACGGAGCAACGCCGCGUGAGUGAUGAAGGUUUUCGGAUCGUAAGACUCUGUUGCGAGGGAAGAAACCGUGCCAAUUAACUACUGGCACCUUGACGGUACCUCGCCAGAAAGCCACGGCUAACUACGUGCCAGCCGCCGCGGUAA
RNAcentral lists this ribosomal RNA (511 nucleotides) under uncultured bacterium. RNAcentral describes it as "partial 16S ribosomal RNA". It matches the Rfam family "Bacterial small subunit ribosomal RNA", at positions 29 to 523 of the family's 1533-position model. The record is from RNAcentral.